RNAcentral lists this long non-coding RNA (656 nucleotides) under Anas platyrhynchos platyrhynchos (common mallard). Its description in RNAcentral is "lncRNA (ENSAPLG00000025439.1)". Lineage: Eukaryota; Metazoa; Chordata; Aves; Anseriformes; Anatidae. The record is from RNAcentral.
UCUGAGGGAAGGUGAGUGUUGCCAGCCUGGUCAUGCCUUAUCCGAAGCGAAGUGAAGACGCUCAGGUGUUUCCCUGUGAGGGUCUGAGGUGAGACUGUUUGGGAUAGAGGAGUAGCGUGGCAGGUGGGUGCUUGCAAGCACAGUGGUUCUUUUGUCCUUUUGUGUUCCCCGGUGGUGUGGAUGAUGGUGGCCGCUCCUUUCAAGCUUGGACCUAAUUUGCAGGUCCAGAGGCAAGUGGAGUGCUGUUUUGAAAGGGUAAAAGUAAAGCUGGGGUCGCUUAUGUUGUUGAGGGAUGGGUGCUACAGCUGGCAGCUGAAUGUUUAUCUUCUGCCUGUGUCUUUCCUUUGUUCAUGUUGAAAUGCAGCGUGCAGUGCGCAGUGCAGGACGUCUCGACCCGAGCUGCCUCUGCAGUGACUCUGGUGGUGUGGAUGAUACUGGCUGCACUGUUGGAGCUUGGACUCGGAGAGGAACACGUGAGCACAAUCGUAUGUUGCAUCAGCAGUAGUCAGCAUUGUGGAGAAGGUGAGCAAUGGGGCUGGCGUGCUAGUGAAUGCUGUUUCUCUGUUUUUGCAGCUGAUGAUGAGCCUUCAAUUGACUAAGAUGACAAACGGUGCCUGUGCAUUUCUUGAGGCGGAGGAACUUCACCAUGCAGCAGC